RNA transcript from Phalaenopsis equestris, 3568 nucleotides. RefSeq lists it as uncharacterized. The record is from RefSeq and is a predicted model, not a curated record. The transcript has 6 exons. Lineage: Eukaryota; Viridiplantae; Streptophyta; Magnoliopsida; Asparagales; Orchidaceae.
UUGGGAAACUCUAGCUCUACUAAUCUCUACUAAUUGAAGACAAGCCCAUCCCUCUCACUCUCUGUCACAACUAAAAAAUCAAAGCCAAAGCAACAGCAGAAGCAUCUGAGCGAGAUAAAGAAAUCUUCUUCUUCAGCUCUCCUUCUCUUUUACGUUUCUCUAAUCAAAAAUCACCAAAGCCGUAUCAGCUAAAGAGAAAGCAAAAGAAAAGCACCUCCUUCCGCUGUUCCUUCCUCCUGCGCGCGCUCUCUCUCAUAUCAUUACACUCAACUACCUCCUUAGACCCGCCUUUUUCUCUUCUUUUACUCCCACCUCUCCGUACGUUAAUAUGCCCGUCGUCUUCUCACCCCAUCAGUCAAAAUCGCAAUCUCGCUUUUUCUUUCUCCAAAAUGGCGGAUUGAUUUGGAAAUAUGUCCAAGACGAGAGCUUUAUAGCGCUGGCUUUCUUUAGCUAAAACGGUACCCGGGAUUCCUGCUAAUUGCAGAGGCUUCCGGUCAUUUCUUACGGCUCUAUCGGGCUCUUGUGUUUGCUGCUGAUUCUCUUGAAGCAGAUGCUUUCUCCGCUAGGAAGGUGAUCUUUUGCUUCUCUAUCUGCUUAGGGUUUUUGGUGUUUCGAGGAAUGGCGGAAAGUGGAGGAGUAGGAGCGAAAGUUCGGGUGGUUCGCUGCCCCAAAUGCGACAAGCUGCUACCUGAGCUCGCCAAUUUCACUCUCUACCGCUGCGGCGGUUGCGACGCUACUCUUCAAGCGAAGAAGCAACCCUCGGUUUUUGAAGCUUCCCCGGAGAAGUCUGAUACAGAGUUGAGCAAAUACUCUCAGAAGAACGCGGAAGUUGAUGCGGACUGUGAUAAGUUUGAAUUUAAGGAGGGGCAACGAUUGAGCAAAACUUUUGAUGUUGGUUUGAUUAAUGGUAACGAGAAAAGAGAAGGCUUUGAAGAAGGAGAGUUGCCGAUAAUGGAUGUUCUUCCAACAGUCAAAUCUGAUGCUAGAGAUGGAAAAUUUCAGAACCGACCAAUGGGUUGUCCUAAUAUUCCUAGUGACAAUGUAGAUGGGUUGGCAAAAAGAAAGGUGGAAGAGAACCAUGAAACCAAAGCUCAGAUCUUGUUUUCAAACGGCCACUCUAAAUUUCGGCAAACAAAAGCUUGGGAAGGUGAAGAAAUGGCCAAAAAGGCUCCUUUUCGAGGAACACCGAAGGUCCACAUAGGAGAUAUUCAGACAGCUUCUUAUCCUCUUGCUGGUCCAUCAAACUACAAUUGUAGUAUUAAUCACAUUAAUUCUGAGGGUGCUGCAAAAAGGCAGAACAUAGAGGGUUCUGACCGAGUUGAGCUCCUCGAACAAGACCGAGCUGAGUUGCUGAGAAAACUGGAUGAGUUGAGAGAUCAGAUCAAACAAUCCUGUGAGGUUGUUGAAGCCCCCAAAGAAAGAGUUUCUUCCAUCAACAACAUGUCAGCAUCUUUGAGCUCUCAUGGCCACAACGGUAGAGGUAGCUGGUUUCCAAAUGGCUCUUCUACCUCGAAUCGUAAUUCUUCGCAGCAUUCUAAUGGGCACAAUGCGGAAAUGCCUCGAUUUUAUCCUUCAACACAAUUGCAGAAUGGUGUUCAUGGAUACAGAGAGACUUCCAGACCAUAUUCUCUUCCCCCUUUUAACCUCCAUGGCCAGUAUGCACAGAGAUCCUCCAAUGGGUAUAUCUACGGGCACGUAGAUUCAGAUCCAGUUAGUUCUUAUCAUAAUGAUGGAUUCUAUCAUCAACCUGCCUGCGCAUGCAUGCACUGCUACAAUGGCCAUUGGUUGCCGCCGGCACAAGUUCCAUUAAGGGGUCCUCCAUGUCCUUUAGGAAAUCAUGGUUUCUAUCCGGCUGAUGGUCCUCCCAUGUUUGGAUCACAAGGUUACAACCAUGGAGUUCCCAAAGCUCCUCUCCAUUCCUAUGAGCCACCCCAUCAACAUAAACCCGCCUUCGCUAGAAAAGAAAGACGACCUUGUCGCCCUGUCGCAGGGGCAGCGCCUUUCAUAGUAUGCUACAAUUGCUCUGAGCUGUUGCAAAUCCCUGAGGAGAUUCUCGAGAUGGGUAAGCAUCAGCAUAAGCUGCGCUGCGGUUCGUGCUCUCAAUUGAUUUCAUUCGAGCUCGACGGAAGAAGACUGGUUUCUUCGAAUAACACAACGACUUUGCCGGGGAAUUCAGCGAACAAUCUCAAUUUAAGUGAUGGCUCUAAAGAUGUUUUGCAGUGUCAGGGAAACAUCAACCGGCGCCAAGUUAUCUCAUACUCAAUCGAUUAUGAUAGCCCGGGCUAUUUCGAUGUGAGAUCUUCCAAUGAGAAGAUUGUUAUGCCCUCUUUUCCUGUUUCAUGCAAUGAAGUAGUAGAAAAAGGGUGUGGACAUCUUAGUGAUUCUGAGAAAAUGCAUGGGCUUUGUUCAUCAUCAGGGACGUCCGGCAGUCCGGAUAGCGUGAUUUGCGCACGAGAUGUUCCGAAUUCUACCGAGAUUCCUGGUGAAGUUGAUGGUAUUGCUCGUGUUCCGAGUUUACCUCUUCGUGAGCAUUUUGGGUACUCUUCUGGGAAUAAAAUAGGUGAUGAUCCUGGGAGUGGAAGUAGAAGCAAGCGCUCUGAUCAGGACAGAAUCACUUCCUAUACAGGCAAUUUCAAACAGAACUCUGUGAAAGAUGUGCCAGUGGCGACAGAGAUGGAUUUAUCGGCUGAAGAUUAUCCGAAUGCUGGUUUUUCUCAAGAUUCAUGGGAUGUGAGCAAAGAAGAGGAGGAGCAUCGGAUUACUAAGGGCGGGGAUUCGUUCCUCGCCGGUCUCAUUAAGAAAAGCUUCAAGGAUUUCUCUCCUUUCAAUCAAUCUAACGAAACCGGGAAGUCUAGAGUUUCGGUUAACGGGCAUUCUAUAACCGAUCGCUUGGUUAAGAGGGCGGAAAAGCUCGCUGGACCAAUCCAUCCUGGGUUUUAUUGGUAUGACUACCGUGCCGGAUUCUGGGGUGUGAUGGGACAGGCUUGUCUUGGAAUAAUUCCACCAUUUAUCGAGGAGUUCAAUUAUCCCAUGAACAAGAACUGCGCGGCCGGAAAUACUGGUGUUGUGGUGAAUGGGAGAGAGCUUAAUGCUAAAGAUUUAACUUUGCUUGCCGGUCGAGGCCUUCCUGCAACUGAAGGCAGAUCAUUUAUUAUUGAGAUUUCUGGUAAGGUUUGGGAUGAAGAUACUGGUGAAGAGCUUGAUUGUCUCGGCAAGCUUGCGCCUACGGUUGAGAGAGUUAAGCGUGGAUUCGGCAUGCGAGUUCCUGGAGCUAAUUCCUGAAUUGAUUACGCACCGAAAAGCUUCCAUCCUGCUUCGUCUCCUGGAACAACUGGACUGUAACAAUGUUCUUUGCCUGUAUUUCAUCUUUUAUCAGUAUAUCUUGUGGUUUAUUCAUAUGUUCAUGGGUGAUAAUGUGGCAUGCUGAGAAGAUUUAAACUGCUCCUGUGUUGAAUCAGGCUUAGAAUGUUUGUAUGUUAAGGGCCCUUUUGAUUGUUUUUUUUUAAAUAGAACAUAAUGUUCAGUUAAAUUUGAUGUUUAUUUCUAUAAUACCAAAGUCUUUAACCUC